This 497-nucleotide ribosomal RNA is filed under the name uncultured bacterium. RNAcentral describes it as "partial 16S ribosomal RNA". It matches the Rfam family "Bacterial small subunit ribosomal RNA", at positions 28 to 507 of the family's 1533-position model. The record is from RNAcentral.
GAUGAACGCUGGCGGCGUGCCUAAUACAUGCAAGUCGAGCGAACAGACGAGGAGCUUGCUCCUUCGACGUUAGCGGCGGACGGGUGAGUAACACGUAGGUAACCUACCUAUAAGACUGGGAUAACUUCGGGAAACCGGAGCUAAUACCGGAUAAUAUUUCGAACCGCAUGGUUCGAUAGUGAAAGAUGGCUUUGCUAUCACUUAUAGAUGGACCUGCGCCGUAUUAGCUAGUUGGUAAGGUAACGGCUUACCAAGGCAACGAUACGUAGCCGAACUGAGAGGGUGAUCGGCCACACUGGAACUGAGACACGGUCCAGACUACUACGGGAGGCAGCAGUAGGGAAUCUUCCGCAAUGGGCGAAAGCCUGACGGAGCAACGCCGCGUGAGUGAUGAAGGUCUUCGGAUCGUAAAACUCUGUUAUUAGGGAAGAACAAACGUGUAAGUAACUGUGCACGUCUUGACGGUACCUAAUCAGAAAGCCACGGCUAACUACGUG